Long non-coding RNA from Homo sapiens (human), 1166 nucleotides. Ensembl annotates it as zinc finger protein 37B, pseudogene. Its record names the gene ZNF37BP. The record is from Ensembl. Lineage: Eukaryota; Metazoa; Chordata; Mammalia; Primates; Hominidae.
GCGCAUGUGCGCGGUGUGGCUCCAGGUCGCAGCUUCAUGGCCUGAUGCCUUCAGGAAGUAUUUUGAAGUCAUCGUGGCUGUGGAUUGGGGGAUUUCUUGUUUCCACUGACCUGUGAGGCCGCGCACGUGGAGGGAGGCACCCCGGGUCCUCCGGCACUGUCCGGCCUCGCCUGUGUCCCUAGUAGCAGUGGGCAUUUCCAGACGGUGCAGCUUGUGGCUAAAGUGACAGGAAGAUGUAGGAGCUUUCAGUCUUGGAUGAGGAUUCGAACUGAAGGGCUUAGGCCCAGCUGUCUUGGAGCAAAACAUCUGUUGUGGGAUGUGGCGGCAGAGGAGGGCAAGGCCGAAGGAGCAGACAGCACCGCUUCUUGGGGAGUUGUGAAGGCAUCAUGCGGAGGGCCGAGCUUAGCAGCCAAGUGGAGGACAGCACCCUCCAUGCCUGGAUUCGUUACUCGCUCGUUCUCGAUGUUGAGCUGCUGGCAUAUUGCAGCACAACUAGAGAUGUACGGAUGCCCCCAUCUUGAUCUUACAGAAUCAGAGGUGCAGCCGCAAGAAAGAGUCAAGAACAGACACUGAGUCGCUUGAGGACUCAGGCAGGUGUUUGCUGCAUUGACAACAGAUGGAAUAUGAUCACAUCCCAGGGAUCAGUGUCAUUUAGGGAUGUGACUAUGGGCUUCACUCAAGAGGAGUGGCAUCAUCUGGACCCUGCUCAGAGGACCCUGUAGAGGAAUGUGAUGCUGGAGAACUACAGCCACCUUGUCUCAGUAGGGUAUUGCAUUCCUAAACCAGAAGUGAUCCUCAAAUUGGAGACAGGCAAGGAGCCAUGGAUAUUAGAGGAAAAAUUUCGAAGCCAGAGUCAUCUGGAAUUAAUUAAUACCAGUAGAAACUAUUCAAGAAUGAAGUUCAAUGAGUUUAACAAAGGUGGAAAAUGUUUCUGUGAUGAAAGCAUGAAAUAAUUCAUUUUGAAGAGGAACCUUCUGAAUAUAAUAACAAUGGGAACAGCUUCUGGCUGAAUGAAGACCUCAUUUGGCAUCAGAAGAUUAAAAAUUGGGAGCAACCUUUUGAAUACAAUGAAUGUGGGAAAGCUUUCCCUGAGAAUUCACUCUUCCUUGUACAUAAGAGAGCUUACACAGGACAGAAAACAUGCAAAUAUACUGAACAUGGGAAAA